AGCUAAAGGCGAAGAAAGCGUCGGACAUUUUGUUUGGUGUGCACGUUAUUAAAGUAUUAAAUAUUUGAUGAGAAAAUACGCGGGAUGGAUAAAGCGUGCGAGACUUCUUUGCAAAAACGUUUCAACGAACGCAAACGCGAGAUACUCGUAAGGCGGAAGAGGAAGGGAAGGGUGAGAAGGGUGAGAAGAGAAAGGAGGGGCCUUUGCGCGUUUCAGUAGAGAGUGUGCCAAGUGGAAUAUUUCCUAGAACGAAGUUCACCAUGAAUUCCACGGAGCACACUGGAUACAACACGAAGAAAAGCUUAGAAAUGUCCUUGCAAAUUGUUCAGUCCUCGAUACGUCGACAAGUAUGAAACUAAUAGGUUUAUCCCGAUUAUUAACGCACGAAAGACAUAAAAUCGAUGGACGUCGCUUAACAGGAUUAUUUCGAGAGGAAGCGUUCCGAGUAAGUGUGACAACACCAACGACAGGUAGAUGAUACAACAUCGCCUAUAACAAGCCGCCAAACAAGCGUUGCUUACUUUUAAUUCCUUGGAUUGUUGAAACCGAAGCGUUCAACAUUUUUUAUUCGCUGGUCGUACAUAGUUCGUUGGUUUGCCCAUGGGAUUAUUCGAUGAAGAGAGAGAGAGAGAGAGAUGGAAGGGAAAAAAAAAAGAAAAAUAGAAAUAAAUAAAAUGAGAAUAUCAGUUAGCAAGGAGUAUAUGCAUGAUAGAAACUACUAUUAUAUAUACUACGUAAUAAUAGUAUAUAUAUAUAUACAUAUGUAUAUAUGUGUAUAUAUAUAUAUAUAUAUAUAUAUAUAUCUAGCGCAUAGUCAACGUGCUCACGUGGCCAAUCAAGAGCGUGACCGGCAUGACGGUAGAUAAUCCGAAGAAAUUCGAUACUAAUAACAAGAUGACGUCGUACUGUUAUCUAAUACAAUAUUUUUCCUUUCUUUCUUUCUUUCUUUCUUUCUU
This is a long non-coding RNA of Vespa crabro (European hornet), 956 nucleotides long. RefSeq lists it as uncharacterized. The transcript has 3 exons. The record is from RefSeq and is a predicted model, not a curated record. Lineage: Eukaryota; Metazoa; Arthropoda; Insecta; Hymenoptera; Vespidae.